This 352-nucleotide ribosomal RNA is filed under the name uncultured bacterium. RNAcentral describes it as "bacterial SSU rRNA". It matches the Rfam family "Bacterial small subunit ribosomal RNA", at positions 917 to 1271 of the family's 1533-position model. The record is from RNAcentral.
GGGCCCGCACAAGCGGUGGAGCAUGUGGUUUAAUUCGAUGAUACGCGAGGAACCUUACCAGGGCUUAAAUGGGAGAUGACAGGGGCAGAGACGCCCUUUUCUUCGGACAUCUUUCAAGGUGCUGCAUGGUUGUCGUCAGCUCGUGCCGUGAGGUGUCAGGUUAAGUCCUAUAACGAGCGCAACCCCUACCGUUAGUUGCCAGCGAUUCAAGUCGGGGACUCUAACGGGACUGCCGGUGAUAAGCCGGAGGAAGGUGGGGAUGACGUCAAGUCCUCAUGGCCCUUACAGGCUGGGCUACACACGUGCUACAAUGGCGAUGACAGUGGGCAGCGACCCCGCAAGGGUGAGCUAA